RNAcentral lists this ribosomal RNA (51 nucleotides) under Eleusine indica (goosegrass). RNAcentral's name for it is "partial 26S ribosomal RNA". The record is from RNAcentral. Lineage: Eukaryota; Viridiplantae; Streptophyta; Magnoliopsida; Poales; Poaceae.
CGCGACCCCAGGUCAGUCGGGACUACCCGCCGAAUUUAAGCAUAUAAAUAA